This 98-nucleotide transfer RNA is filed under the name Trichoderma longibrachiatum. Its description in RNAcentral is "tRNA-Ser". It matches the Rfam family "tRNA". From Rfam's summary of the family: Transfer RNA (tRNA) molecules are approximately 80 nucleotides in length. Their secondary structure includes four short double-helical elements and three loops (D, anti-codon, and T loops). Further hydrogen bonds mediate the characteristic L-shaped molecular structure. tRNAs have two regions of fundamental functional importance: the anti-codon, which is responsible for specific mRNA codon recognition, and the 3' end, to which the tRNAs corresponding amino acid is attached (by aminoacyl-tRNA synthetases). tRNAs cope with the degeneracy of the genetic code in two manners: having more than one tRNA (with a specific anti-codon) for a particular amino acid; and 'wobble' base-pairing, i.e. permitting non-standard base-pairing at the 3rd anti-codon position. The record is from RNAcentral. RNAcentral also lists the same sequence under 2 other names. Lineage: Eukaryota; Fungi; Ascomycota; Sordariomycetes; Hypocreales; Hypocreaceae.
GACACUUUGGCCGAGUGGUUAAGGCGAUGCCCUGCUAUCUCGAGAGAUAACUCCAGGCAUUGUGUUCGCACGCGCAGGUUCGAAUCCUGCAGGUGUCG